This 319-nucleotide ribosomal RNA is filed under the name uncultured eukaryote. RNAcentral describes it as "partial 18S ribosomal RNA". It matches the Rfam family "Eukaryotic small subunit ribosomal RNA", at positions 1470 to 1796 of the family's 1831-position model. The record is from RNAcentral.
CCCUUAGAUGUUCUGGGCCGCACGCGCGCUACACUGAUGCAUUCAACAAGCCUAGCCUUGACCGAGAGGUCCGGGUAAUCUUUGAAACUGCAUCGUGAUGGGGCUAGAUUAUUGCAAUUAUUAAUCUUCAACGAGGAAUGCCUAGUAAGCGUGAUUCAUCAAAUCGCGUUGAUUACGUCCCUGCCCUUUGUACACACCGCCCGUCGCACCUACCGAUUGAAUGGUCCGGUGAAAUCUCGGGACGGCGGCUUGGUCGCUUGCGUCCGACUGCUGAAACUUGAUUAAACCAUAUCAUUUAGAGGAAGGUGAAGUCGUAACA